GCGUGUGUGGUUUAGCGAUUAGCAUGGCUGCCUUCCAAGCAGUCGAUCUGGGUUGGACUCCUGGCACACGCA
This is a non-coding RNA of Schistocephalus solidus, 72 nucleotides long. The record is from Rfam. NCBI's taxonomy places the organism in Eukaryota, Metazoa, Platyhelminthes, Cestoda, Diphyllobothriidea, Diphyllobothriidae.